UUCUAACUAUCUUUUCGGUGAU
RNAcentral lists this non-coding RNA (22 nucleotides) under Arabidopsis thaliana (thale cress). Lineage: Eukaryota; Viridiplantae; Streptophyta; Magnoliopsida; Brassicales; Brassicaceae. The record is from RNAcentral.